UGCGCAGGCGGAAUAUUAAGUCAGUGGUGAAAUCUCUCGGCUCAACCGAGAAACUGCCAUUGAAACUGAUAAUCUUGAGUAUAGUUGUAGUAGGCGGAAUAUAGCAUGUAGCGGUGAAAUGCUUAGAUAUGCUAUAGAACACCGAUCGCGAAGGCAGCUUACUAAACUAUUACUGACGCUCAUGCACGAAAGCGUGGGGAGCAAACAGGAUUAGAUACCCUGGUAGUCC
RNAcentral lists this ribosomal RNA (229 nucleotides) under uncultured bacterium. Its description in RNAcentral is "partial 16S ribosomal RNA". It matches the Rfam family "Bacterial small subunit ribosomal RNA", at positions 568 to 796 of the family's 1533-position model. The record is from RNAcentral.